Molecule: small nuclear RNA, 197 nt
Filed under: Carlito syrichta (Philippine tarsier)
Lineage: Eukaryota; Metazoa; Chordata; Mammalia; Primates; Tarsiidae
Description: U2 spliceosomal RNA (ENSTSYG00000019609.2)
Rfam family: U2 spliceosomal RNA
About the family: U2 is a small nuclear RNA (snRNA) component of the spliceosome (involved in pre-mRNA splicing).
Source: Rfam by way of RNAcentral
AUCACUUAUUGACCUUUUAGUCAAGAUUAAGUGCAGUAUCUGUCUUUGCCAGUUAAUAUGUGAUAUGUCCUCUAUUUGAGGACAAUAUAUUAAAUGGAUUUUUAGAAAUAAAAGACAGACUAGGAGCUUGCUCCAUCCAUUCCAUGCCUUCAUGUUUUGACCUGGUAUUGCAAUACAAUUUAAGUAAUACAAUAAUU